This 460-nucleotide ribosomal RNA is filed under the name uncultured bacterium. Its description in RNAcentral is "partial 16S ribosomal RNA". It matches the Rfam family "Bacterial small subunit ribosomal RNA", at positions 338 to 795 of the family's 1533-position model. The record is from RNAcentral.
CCUACGGGAGGCAGCAGUGAGGAAUAUUGGUCAAUGGGCGUAAGCCUGAACCAGCCAAGUCGCGUGAGGGAUGACGGUCCUAUGGUUCGUAAACUUCUUUUAUAAGGGAAUAAAGUGCGGGACGUGUUCAGCUUUGUAUGUACCUUAUGAAUAAGGACCGGCUAACUCCGUGCCAGCAGCCGCGGUAAUACGGAGGAUGCGAGCGUUAUCCGGAUUUAUUGGGUUUAAAGGGAGCGUAGGUUGCUUUUUAAGUCAGCGGUGAAAGUUUGUGGCUCAACCAUGCAAUUGCUGUUGAAACUGGAUGUCUUGAGUGCGUGUGAGGUAGGCGGAAUGCGGGGGGUAGCGGUGAAAUGCGUAGAUAUCACGAAGAACUCCGAUUGCGAAGGCAGAUUACUGAGCCAUAACUGACGCUGAAGCACGAAAGCGUGGGGAUCAAACAGGAUUAGAUACCCGUGUAGUC